RNAcentral lists this ribosomal RNA (541 nucleotides) under Rathayibacter sp. AY1E3. Its description in RNAcentral is "bacterial LSU rRNA". It matches the Rfam family "Bacterial large subunit ribosomal RNA", at positions 1 to 493 of the family's 2925-position model. Lineage: Bacteria; Bacillati; Actinomycetota; Actinomycetes; Micrococcales; Microbacteriaceae. The record is from RNAcentral.
UAGCAAGUUCAUAAGAGCAAACGGUGAAUGCCUUGGCAUCUGGAGCCGAAGAAGGACGUCGUAAUCUGCGAUAAGCCUCGGGGAGCUGAUAAACGAGCUGCGAUCCGAGGAUUUCCGAAUGGGGAAACCCCGCCAGGCCCCUUGUGGUGACCUGGUGACUCCCGCCUGAAUAUAUAGGGCGGGUAGAGGGAACGUGGGGAAGUGAAACAUCUCAGUACCCACAGGAAGAGAAAACAACAGUGAUUCCGUCAGUAGUGGCGAGCGAACGCGGAAGAGGCUAAACCGAGUCAUGUGUGAUACCCGGCAGGGGUUGCAUGGCCGGGGUUGUGGGACUUUUCGUUCCGGUCUGCCGGCCGGUGAACGUUACAGCGCAUCAUAGACGAACAGGUUUGAACGCCUGGCCAGAGCGGGUGCGAGCCCCGUAGUCGAAAUGGUGUUAUGACGUGAAGAGUAUCCCAAGUAGCACGGGGCCCGAGAAAUCCCGUGUGAAUCUGUCAGGACCACCUGAUAAGCCUAAAUACUCCCAGAUGACCGAUAGCGG